CAGAGCGUAGCUAAAUUAGAAUAGCAUUUCCCUUACACCGAAAAGACGCCCGUGCAAGCCGGGCCGCACUGA
RNAcentral lists this transfer RNA (72 nucleotides) under Tateurndina ocellicauda (peacock gudgeon). RNAcentral describes it as "tRNA-Val". It matches the Rfam family "tRNA". Rfam says of the family: Transfer RNA (tRNA) molecules are approximately 80 nucleotides in length. Their secondary structure includes four short double-helical elements and three loops (D, anti-codon, and T loops). Further hydrogen bonds mediate the characteristic L-shaped molecular structure. tRNAs have two regions of fundamental functional importance: the anti-codon, which is responsible for specific mRNA codon recognition, and the 3' end, to which the tRNAs corresponding amino acid is attached (by aminoacyl-tRNA synthetases). tRNAs cope with the degeneracy of the genetic code in two manners: having more than one tRNA (with a specific anti-codon) for a particular amino acid; and 'wobble' base-pairing, i.e. permitting non-standard base-pairing at the 3rd anti-codon position. Lineage: Eukaryota; Metazoa; Chordata; Actinopteri; Gobiiformes; Eleotridae. The record is from RNAcentral.